This 484-nucleotide ribosomal RNA is filed under the name uncultured bacterium. RNAcentral's name for it is "partial 16S ribosomal RNA". It matches the Rfam family "Bacterial small subunit ribosomal RNA", at positions 30 to 507 of the family's 1533-position model. The record is from RNAcentral.
AUUGAACGCUGGCGGCAGGCCUAACACAUGCAAGUCGAGCGGAUGAAGGGAGCUUGCUCCUGGAUUCAGCGGCGGACGGGUGAGUAAUGCCUAGGAAUCUGCCUGGUAGUGGGGGAUAACGUCCGGAAACGGGCGCUAAUACCGCAUACGUCCUGAGGGAGAAAGUGGGGGAUCUUCGGACCUCACGCUAUCAGAUGAGCCUAGGUCGGAUUAGCUAGUUGGUGGGGUAAAGGCCUACCAAGGCGACGAUCCGUAACUGGUCUGAGAGGAUGAUCAGUCACACUGGAACUGAGACACGGUCCAGACUCCUACGGGAGGCAGCAGUGGGGAAUAUUGGACAAUGGGCGAAAGCCUGAUCCAGCCAUGCCGCGUGUGUGAAGAAGGUCUUCGGAGUGUAAAGCACUUUAAGUGGGGAGGAAGGGCAGUAAGUUAAUACCUUGCUGUUUUGACGUUACCAACAGAAUAAGCACCGGCUAACUUCGUG